Hyaena hyaena (striped hyena) is the source of this 607-nucleotide long non-coding RNA. RefSeq lists it as uncharacterized. Lineage: Eukaryota; Metazoa; Chordata; Mammalia; Carnivora; Hyaenidae. The transcript has 3 exons. The record is from RefSeq and is a predicted model, not a curated record.
GGCCAGUACUGAGGAUGAUGUGCAGUUCCACGUGGGCCGAGUGCCACCAGAGAGCGCACGCGCACAGGCGUGGGGUGGCUCAGCGUCCACACGGAGAUUCAGAAAGGUCGCCUGGAGGGGGAGACACAGCUGUCCCCUGAUACUAAGGGCAGCUGGCCUGCGUGUGGCCAGCCAUGGGACACUGGUCACUAGGAGAGCCCCGUGCCUCGUGGCUUCAUACCACCCCCACCCAGGCCAUCUUCUCUUUUCUCCUCAAACUCAGGUGCACCUCUGGCCACGGCCACCGACCCCCUCCUGCCCCUGGAGCCGGGACACGUGUCUCCAGAGCUGCCGAGGGACGUCUGCCGAUAGGAGGACGUGUUCAUUAAGGAGGACUUAGAAACACACACUUUCGGGUCCUGUUAAUAUCAGUAAAUUUAAUGAUUUUCUUGAGAUUUUCUUUUAAAAGCUGGCAUUUUAAGAUUUAUCUCUGUAGCUCUUGUUUGUUUAGGAGGGUAAGUAUUAUUCAUCUAUAAAACUCACCCUUUCCUAAAACCAGAUGGGAUUUAAAGCAUCUUACCAAUUUUUAGUUUUUUUACUUUUGAGAGAGAGAGAGAGAAAGCAUGAG